CGUUGAUGCAACUUUCAUUUUUGUUCUGUGGAAGUUUUUUGUCAAGAAGGUCUAAGAAUGUAUGACGGAAAUGUUGUUGGAUGGUCUAAAGAACCUUUUCUAUUAGCGAAAAUAGUGAAAUUAAAAAAAAGUGAGGUGUUCGUAACAUUACUACCGAGAAAAUCUGUCAGCAAGUCAUCGAAACGUCUAUUUGACGAAAAAGGUUCUACUUAUCACAAAUGCCGUUCAAUAAUAUAAUGCGGCGAACGUGUGGGUAAUAAUCAGUGAAAGAGAACAUUACACCGCAAGUGCGCAUAGUUGAAUAAGGUGGUCCAAUUGGCGAUAUCGUGAACAUGGAAACAUGAAAACGGACUUUACAUCAACCGAACGUAUCGAAAGAAUGAACCGAACAUUUGGUGAAUCAUCAAUGGAAGAAGUAUUUUUGAAAGGAGACGGCCGUGAAUGGGCCGAAUGGGCUCGACAAACGCUAAACGUAGGGAGAGGGUCAAAGGCUAGCGAGCAAUGAUACUCGAUGAAGUCAAGUGGAAACGAUCAAGACUCGAAGAUAUUUCUGACGAAAUGCUGAAUUCUUACUUCCUGCCACUUCCCCACCAUGACGAACUUCCUAUAAAUGUUAGGCUGACUUCAAAAUCAUGAGCAUGCAGAAAGUAACAUCCUGUUUAACGCACAUCGGCUGGAUCGUCCAAAGUCGGUAAUCAUUAGGCAUCGCCAGCCAGUGGUUCUUCGUUUUGUUUUAUCAACGUAGAAUUGAGAUUAGAAAAUCAUUCGGAAUGAAAGCUGUGAUGGAAUUAAGUCAUGGAAUAUUUGUGCACAGAAUUCCAUAAUAAACGCCACAAUC
Bradysia coprophila is the source of this 838-nucleotide long non-coding RNA. RefSeq lists it as uncharacterized. The record is from RefSeq and is a predicted model, not a curated record. Lineage: Eukaryota; Metazoa; Arthropoda; Insecta; Diptera; Sciaridae.